GAUGAACGCUGGCGGCGUGCCUAAUACAUGCAAGUCGAGCGAACAGAUAAGGAGCUUGCUCCUUUGAAGUUAGCGGCGGACGGGUGAGUAACACGUGGGUAACCUACCUAUAAGACUGGGAUAACUUCGGGAAACCGGAGCUAAUACCGGAUAACAUUUAGAACCGCAUGGUUCUAAAGUGAAAGAUGGUUUUGCCAUCACUUAUAGAUGGACCCGCGCCGUAUUAGCUAGUUGGUAAGGUAACGGCUUACCAAGGCGACGAUACGUAGCCGACCUGAGAGGGUGAUCGGCCACACCGGAACUGAGACACGGUCCAGACUCCUACGGGAGGCAGCAGUAGGGAAUCUUCCGCAAUGGGCGAAAGCCUGACGGAGCAACGCCGCGUGAGUGAUGAAGGGUUUCGGCUCGUAAAACUCUGUUAUUAGGGAAGAACAAAUGUGUAAGUAACUGUGCACAUCUUGACGGUACCUAAUCAGAAAGCCACGGCUAACUACGUG
This 497-nucleotide ribosomal RNA is filed under the name uncultured bacterium. RNAcentral describes it as "partial 16S ribosomal RNA". It matches the Rfam family "Bacterial small subunit ribosomal RNA", at positions 28 to 507 of the family's 1533-position model. The record is from RNAcentral.